CCUACGGGUGGCAGCAGUGGGGAAUAUUGCACAAUGGGGGAAACCCUGAUGCAGCGACGCCGCGUGAGUGAAGAAGUAUUUCGGUAUGUACAGCUCUAUCAGCAGGGAAGAAAAUGACGGUACCUGAUUAAGAAGCCCCGGCUAACUACGUGCCAGCAGCCGCGGUAAUACGUAGGGGGCAAGCGUUAUCCGGAUUUACUGGGUGUAAAGGGAGCGUAGACGGCAGCACAAGUCUGGAGUGAAAUGCCGGGGCUUAACCCCGGAACUGCUUUGGAAACUGUGCAGCUAGAGUGCAGGAGAGGUAAGUGGAAUUCCGAGUGUAGCGGUGAAAUGCGUAGAUAUUAGGAGGAACACCAGUGGCGAAGGCGGCCACCUGGACCGGUAUUGACGCUGAGGCGCGAAAGCGUGGGGAGCAAACAGGAUUAGAUACCCGUGUAGUC
This 440-nucleotide ribosomal RNA is filed under the name uncultured bacterium. Its description in RNAcentral is "partial 16S ribosomal RNA". It matches the Rfam family "Bacterial small subunit ribosomal RNA", at positions 338 to 795 of the family's 1533-position model. The record is from RNAcentral.